This is a non-coding RNA of Caenorhabditis elegans, 21 nucleotides long. The record is from Ensembl. Lineage: Eukaryota; Metazoa; Nematoda; Chromadorea; Rhabditida; Rhabditidae.
UGCGGGAGACAGACUUUGCAA